UGUCUUUGUAGAAAGAGAACUUCUGUCAGGAAAGAAUUUCUUACAUCACAGACUUGCUGAAGCAACCAGUCCUUAUUCAGGACUGCUUACAGUUCAGUUGGCCAACCGGAAUCUCUACAUCUUAACCAAUGAACCCAGCCCCUGGGUGAAAAUAACAGUAACCCACAAGUUGUUAGAAAGGGACUCUGAAUCUCCAGCUCCUGGAGACCUCUAGACUUGGGAAUACUUGUGGUUGGGCCUCCAAGUUUCCUAUGACUGCCUCUACCCUCUGUGAACUGCUCUUACAGAAGACCAGAGGGGACAGUCUCUGGAUCCAGAACUGCAGUCCUCCUGACGACAGUAAACAUGGGUAGUAAAUGACUGAACCAUACUGAGGAUUUGCUAGGAUCAGGGCUGUGAAACUGAGCAUCUAUUCUGACCCACCCUGGCCAUAGCUCUGCGAGGUAAGCACUGUCCUGAUCCACAUUUCACCUUACUGACAGAAGAGGUGCUGCAGACAUGACCAGAUAGAGUACUUACAGAGUACUUAUCACUUAGUGCCACAGCAUGCUAAAUGCUAUGCUUAUGUGAACUUACCCUCGCCACAAUUCCACAAGACAGGUGCUUUUGUGGUUCUAUUUUAGAGACUAGUGAAAAGCCAAAGAGCUACUGUGUGUUGCUCAGGCUUCCCCAGGCUUGAAUGCAGUGCUAGCAAGAGCUCCUGCUUAGGAGGGUGAACAUCAAGCCCCAAGUCAGGUCUCUAUCAGAAAGGGAAACUGACAGUGUCCAACAGGAUGUCCUAAGCCUAAACCCAGGGUCCCUCUUGUUCUGGUUGGGAAGGCUUCUAAAUUAUCCCCAAAGGCAUAUUUUAAAAGUCCUAUCCACAAACCAUUUCUAGAACCUGCUUUGGUCUGGCUUUUAGGAAGCCUUCAUGGGACUCUAGUGUAGCAUACACCGUAUUGGUAAGAGACCAAUUUGUAAGAGGACCCAUUACAUAGAGUUUACACAUGGCCCCAUGCCCACAGGUAGGUGGUUUUUUAUUAUUAAGAUGAUAAAUUAGUGAUGCAAGUCACUCCCUGCAAUAAUAUUAUAUGCUAGAAAUAAAGUGCACAUUAUUCAGAGUCCCUUGGUGUUAUCCUCAGGUCUCUUUUCUGUUUCUAUCUAGGGCACCACCCUAAUUUAGCUGCCGUGCCGCCUAAGUUCCUAUCACUGAGACUGUGUUUUCUUUAUGACCUUGACUGCUUUGGAGGUCACUAGUUGGGUAUAUUGUAGGGUUUAGCUGCUCUCUCUUGUCUAGGUUUAGCCGGAGAACUCCAGGGCUACUGGGAGGAAGGCCACAGAGUUGAUAAACAGCCAUCCUUAGAGCAGCUUAUCAAGGAGUGCCCAUAUUUGCAACAUGACUGAACACAGUUGAUACCGGCCUUGCUCUUUUGGCUAGGUCAGGGUUUGUCCCUUUUUGCCACCAAGGUCAUUUUUGUCCUCCCACUGUGUUGGACUCUUAAAGCAUUGAAUUAAGGGCCUGGAAACAGCUAGGUAACCAUGGGAACCCGAGUUUGGAUCUCCAACAACAAGAUCUCCUACUUUGAAAGUGAGAAUAAUAAUAACUUCCAACUACCUAUCUCAUCCGGGUACUGAAUGGAUUAAUAGGGUCAUGUUUGCAAAGUCCUGGGAAACUCUCAAGAAAGAAAACGUCCCUGCGCCUUGGCAACUUGGUGCAGUACCACAUUGAUAAAGGACAAGACGCAUGCCAAGUAUUAUGCUAAACACUCAGAGUGAAUGUGUGAAUAUGUCCCAUCAUUGCAAAAGCCCAGCAAGGUGGGUACCUUGAAGAGUCCCAUUUACAGAGCCAAAGUUUGGUGAGGUUAAAGAAGCCACCUAGAGUCACUCAGUGAUUUCAAGGAGAGCCUGGAUCCAGUCCUUACCUGACCCCGGAGUUCUGCUAUACGCACUGCUGUCUGACAGAAAAAAAAUACACAUCAUAUGUGUAUUUUAUGUUAUGUUUUACAUCUUUUAGUUCAGAGACAGUUAGCUCAUGAAGGCUUUGACUUAAUGAAUGGAUUAACUCUGGGUGGACAUUGUGGAGAAACUGUGAAUAGUUGUAAGUGGGGCUUAGUUGAAAGAAAGGGGUCACUUCGAAGGUACGUCUUUGGGGACUAUGUCACACUGUACUCCUUCUUGUAUUCUUCGGUUCCCCAUUUCCUUCCUGUUCACCAUGAUCUUACCGCUGUAAUGAUCUGGAGUACAUGGUGCAAACCCUCACAAACCAGGAAGUAAAGCAGAUCUGCUCUCCCUAAACUGUUCACACCAGGCACUAAGUCACACAGCCACGAGGGAAGUAAAGACCGUAUGCAAGACCGACAAAGGUAAUGAACUCCAAAGGCACAUUCAGGAUGUGCUGGAAGUUUAACAUUUAGAGUUUUGAUUUGCCAAAGAGUUUGCCCUCAAAGAGCCCAUUCCUGAAACCUUCUGCAGUCCAGACUUUGACUUCAUUAUAUAUGGCAUGUGUAAUUUACAUACGCUCUGAGCAAAUAAAUGAAUGUGUGAAUAUGUUCUCUUCCAGAGACGGAGAAAGACUCUUAGGCGAGGAAGAUGGUAAAUUCCAGAAGGGCAUGUAUUGUACCUGAUUUUUACCUAGGUUUGUAGACCUUCCUGGCACACUUAGCAUCUCCUCCCAUUCAGCUCUAAUGGUGUAUGCAUUAGUGUUCACUGGAUGUAGUUUCUUCCAGGCCGUGUUCUGCCUCGAGAUAAUGUGUUCACAACAUCAUAUUAAGGAAACCCCCUUGGUUAGUGUCUGUCUGGGAAGCUAGUCUGAGCCCUCAUUGACAGCCUCAUAGUAAGGAACCCCCUUAGUGCCUGUCUGUGAGGCUAGUCUGAGCCCUCAGAGGAAACAGGUAGCUUCCAUUUGACCCGAAACCUGAUUCUGCCUAUGGUAAUGUCCCCAAAACAAGCUAAUACGGCGAGAUCAUUUUCAGUUACAGACGUUAAAGCCAACUCAAACCAAUUUUGUGGUCUUAGCACAGCUGGACCCAUAAGGGCCAGGUUUCAUUUUCUCUACACAUCUGAAUAGACACACUAUGUUCACCUCUGAAGCUACCUUUCAUAUUGUAGUGUUUCUCAGUGCCUCGCUCAGGAUCUCUUAGUCUACAGUUAGCCUCAAAAUAGAGGUGGUUCCCAUCUGGUUAUUACUAUGCCCCAAACUACUGAGACAGUUCCCCCCCCCAAUGAGGCUUGAAUUGUGGGUCAAGCCUAAGUCAAAUGCUAAUGCCUUGAGCUUGAUGGAGUCCUCUCCCCCAGUCACCUGGCUGGGAGGAAGGGACUCUCUGGGAGCUCCAUUCAGGAGAGGGAGGAAUGAUGUGUGAAGUUGUCCAGGCUAGACUCUCUGUCUUCCUCACUAUCACAAUAAGUCACUUCUCACCCCCUGUUAGAAGCAAUAUAGCUUUGCACUGUUACCCACAUACCUCGCUGGGUGGCAUUAGAGAGUCUAUUCUCAUUGUCACUGUUAUGUGUGCCUGGUCAGUCACUUCACUUUGAGUCCUGGAGAUAACACUGCUCCAGUUCUCUGCAUCACCAGUAUUUACUGUUAUCCUCAUGUGUAGCAGAUAAAGGAUGAACAGCCUGUGAAUCAAGAUCCUACUUUGGGUGACACUGGUCAGAGCCAUAGGUACAGAUGAAGACUCUACACUGUGGGCAGUGACCUGUUUCAUGAAAGUGUGGCAAGCAGAAGCAAACUGAAGAUUAGUGUUCUGUGAUUCUACCACACACCUGAUGCCACAAGAACAUGGUCUAAUUCACUGUGGUGAAUACAUUGUCACGUGUAAGCAAGACACCCACGACUCUGGUUUGCCAGACAUCAGUAUUUGCCAUGUAUAGCCGCAAAGAAGAAGGCAUCAGAUGGACUGUCUUUCCAUUGCUCUUCUAGGGUAAUUGUCUCCCUUCAUUUCCUUCCUUUAUCCCUUUCAUCUCUCCUUUGAUCCUCUUGGUAUAGCCACCCCUCUCCUUCACUGUCCUCCUUUCCUUCUUUCCUCUUCACCUCCUUCUGGUUUUGACCGCUGCUUCAGCCCCAAGGAAUUGAGAGUCCUGAGUUACAGCUCUUGCAGUCCCUUAAGUGAGUUGCUUUCCUCGUUUCUUUCAGCUCUCUUUGCUCCCCUGAAAUGUCAGAAUGACCAAGCCUCUUGCUAACUUCAGUGGUUAGGGGUCAAAGACAUUCUGUAGGUAUAAUGUUCCUCACAGAUAAAGGUGUUUCUGGAUAAAAGUGGGAGACAAAUCUAUUUUUUAUUUCAUGGGU
Molecule: small RNA, 4264 nt
Filed under: Rattus norvegicus (Norway rat)
Lineage: Eukaryota; Metazoa; Chordata; Mammalia; Rodentia; Muridae
Description: uncharacterized LOC103693876
Source: RNAcentral